Molecule: ribosomal RNA, 506 nt
Filed under: uncultured bacterium
Lineage: Bacteria
Description: partial 16S ribosomal RNA
Rfam family: Bacterial small subunit ribosomal RNA
Source: RNAcentral
AGUGAACGCUGGCAGUAGGCCUAACACAUGCAAGUCGAACGGCAGCACAGGAGAGCUUGCUCUCUGGGUGGCGAGUGGCGGAUGGGUGAGGAAUACAUCGGAAUCCACUCUGUCGUGGGGGAUAACGUAGGGAAACUUACGCUAAUACCGCAUACGACCUACGGGUGAAAGCAGGGGACCUUCGGGCCUUGCGCGAUUGAAUGAGUCGAUGUCGGAUUAGUUAGUUGGCGGGGUAACGGCCCACCAAGGCGACGAUCCGUAGCUGGUCCGAUAGGAUUAUCAGCCACACUGGAACGGAGAAGCUGUCCAGACUCCUAAGGGAGGCAGCAGUGGGGAAUAUUGGACAAUGGGCGCAAGCCUGAUCGAGCCAUACCGCGUGGGGGAAGAAGGCCUUCGGGUUGUAAAGCCCUUUUGUUGGGAAAGAAAGCCAGCUGGCUAACACCCGGUUGGGAUGACGGUACCCAAAGAAUAAGCACCGGCUAACUUCGUGCCAGCCGCCGCAGUAA